GCCCCCGUAGCUCAGUGGAUAGAGUAGAGGACUUCUAAUCCUUUGGUCGCACGUUCGAAUCGUGUCGGGGGCG
This 73-nucleotide transfer RNA is filed under the name Candidatus Opitulatrix roisinitermitis. RNAcentral describes it as "tRNA-Arg". It matches the Rfam family "tRNA". Rfam says of the family: Transfer RNA (tRNA) molecules are approximately 80 nucleotides in length. Their secondary structure includes four short double-helical elements and three loops (D, anti-codon, and T loops). Further hydrogen bonds mediate the characteristic L-shaped molecular structure. tRNAs have two regions of fundamental functional importance: the anti-codon, which is responsible for specific mRNA codon recognition, and the 3' end, to which the tRNAs corresponding amino acid is attached (by aminoacyl-tRNA synthetases). tRNAs cope with the degeneracy of the genetic code in two manners: having more than one tRNA (with a specific anti-codon) for a particular amino acid; and 'wobble' base-pairing, i.e. permitting non-standard base-pairing at the 3rd anti-codon position. Lineage: Bacteria; Bacillati; Actinomycetota; Actinomycetes; Bifidobacteriales; Bifidobacteriaceae. The record is from RNAcentral. RNAcentral also lists the same sequence under 1 other name.